UACGUAGGGUGCGAGCGUUGUCCGGAAUUAUUGGGCGUAAAGAGCUCGUAGGCGGUGUGUCACGUCGUUCGUGAAAACCUGCAGCUUAACUGUGGGCGUGCGGUCGAUACGGGCAUCACUGGAGUUCGGCAGGGGAGACUGGAAUUCCUGGUGUAGCGGUGAAAUGCGCAGAUAUCAGGAGGAACACCGGUGGCGAAGGCGGGUCUCUGGACAGUUCCUGACACUGAGGCACGAAGGCCAGGGGAGCAAACGGG
This 254-nucleotide ribosomal RNA is filed under the name uncultured bacterium. RNAcentral's name for it is "partial 16S ribosomal RNA". It matches the Rfam family "Bacterial small subunit ribosomal RNA", at positions 524 to 776 of the family's 1533-position model. The record is from RNAcentral.